AAAAACUUGGGCGCGCCACAGAGAGACCACUCAGUUUGUGUAUAGCAGUCGCGCGUGUAGCUUCUAACUUGCCGCCAUUGACGGGAAACCGGGAUACGAAAAAGAGCUCCACUGUUGGUUGGCAGCUAGUUGGAGUUUGUGAAACUAUUCGAAGUCAGUGAAAAAGAAAUGAAUAAAGUUGCAUUCAGAGGAUGCUUGAAUAUUUUAAGGAAGUGACGAAUUUUCUAUUAGAAAAGUUUGGUAUAAAAACGCAUUUUUUAAAUAUUACCUACUGAAAAAACAACUUUAUAGGAAAUAAAGUGCAAAAUUAAAAAUGGCCAACGAAGUUCCUGCAAGCGGCAGUAUUUUAGGCAGUAAAAACCCGUAAAUUGAGAGAUCUACACUCUUACUCCAGCUCCGAAGAAGCUUUUUAUGGGAGAAGUUCACUCUGAGGUUUGCCAGUGUCUGCCGAGGGGCGACCGCUAUUUGAAA
Molecule: long non-coding RNA, 471 nt
Organism: Rhagoletis zephyria (snowberry fruit fly)
Lineage: Eukaryota; Metazoa; Arthropoda; Insecta; Diptera; Tephritidae
Source: RefSeq, a predicted model, not a curated record